UGGGGUAAUCAUGUUCUGAGUCAUAAGGGUUACAAAUGAGCCUUAUGAUGAGAGAACGCCUCAUGUUCCAGAUCCUAUAUCGCAGGUUUGCAUGUUGUGUUUUAACUCAAGGAAGGAUACAUAUAUAUAUAUUCCUAAACACUGUUUUUUUUUUUUUCUUGGAUUGUUUCACUGAUCACUUACGUACCUAUUAGGACCAAUAAUAGCUUGAAGAUGGGGCUGAUGGUUACCUUCAGUCCAAAUUUUAUAAGUGAAGGUAAGAUGAGAGAUGAAGCUGUUGCAGACCAAAUCUAGAGGGAGUAAGUGCAUUUAAAUAGCAAAUGGUUACUGUUUUUUACCGCAUUGAACAGAUCAAGCAAGUUGCAUGGGCUAUAUCCCAAUUUAGAGGGAAGAGUAACACACACGUGCAUAACGUGUUAUUGGGGAGUUAUUGGGGAAAGCGAACUGAUUCUAGAAUAUUGAGUGCCAAGCAACUGUUGGAGCUGUGCGGGACGAAUAAGAUUCCAUGUAUUCUGCUACCGAGAGAGGUAGAUAUGUCUUCCACUACAGCUGAAAAACACGUUUGUACCUUUGUACUUCUUAAUGUCAUGUGUU
Molecule: long non-coding RNA, 594 nt
Filed under: Brassica napus (rape)
Lineage: Eukaryota; Viridiplantae; Streptophyta; Magnoliopsida; Brassicales; Brassicaceae
Description: long non-coding RNA (BNAP_LNC021111)
Source: RNAcentral